This is a long non-coding RNA of Labeo rohita (rohu), 819 nucleotides long. RefSeq lists it as uncharacterized. The transcript is spliced from 5 exons. Lineage: Eukaryota; Metazoa; Chordata; Actinopteri; Cypriniformes; Cyprinidae. The record is from RefSeq and is a predicted model, not a curated record.
CUGGAUUCUUCACUCGUCUCCUCGUCAGGCGGUCACGCAAUUCACUGCAAGCAGGAUUAUACGAUAUGUGAGAUUCUUGCUGGUGCAGAUGGACAGCUUUGAAAUAGAGAAGUUCAAGGAAAGGCAGCUUGAUACCCUGGUUAAAACCUUUGAAGAUUUUACAAGACUUCAGGAAGCUACAUCCAGAGGCAGACUUUUUGGUAGACUGGGCUACAUUUGCAAGAUGGAAAGGUGCAUUAAGAGCUGGGUGACAUGACUUCAGACGUUAAAGGGGAGAGUGCUUUCAAAGUCCUGCCCAUUCUGGAGGAAGGGUCCACAGAACCACAACCACAGAAGUCUGGAAGCCAUUCAUUGACAUACAAACCUGUGGAGACCAGCAUGUUGGAUUUGUGCCUUGGGGACAAGACAACGACAUCCCAGACCUUCACCAUUGUUACGGGCCGUGCCACUGAAGCCACUGACUUGUUGCCGGGAAAUUUCUCCACCUUGCAGUAUAUUAUACUGAUGGACAUAAGUCUUCAUGUGUGAAUUUUAUUAUUAUUUUUUUUUUUUAAGACCAACUGUUUUUUCUGGCCAAUUGUAACAUGUUUUAAAUUGUCAUAUGUAUUGUCUGGUGGACACUUUGUUUGGCUUAGUUUUAAUCGCACAAUGUUUAGAACGAUUCUCAUGUGGUAAUCAUUCAUUUCUGAGUGUUCUGCUGCUGCAAUGUUAACAAAGAAUGGGAAUCUACAGUGCCUAGUUUACACAGUUUUGUGUUUUAAAGUAACUGAUCUACUAAAAUUGUUGUUUUAUGUGUCUGUAAUGGUUGGAUAAAUUGUU